This is a non-coding RNA of Agrilus planipennis (emerald ash borer), 64 nucleotides long. Lineage: Eukaryota; Metazoa; Arthropoda; Insecta; Coleoptera; Buprestidae. The record is from the annotation of a RefSeq genome assembly.
GCCUUAAUAAUUUAAAUAAAAAUAUUGACCUUGUAAGUCAAAAAUAAGGAUAACUUUUAAGGCU